RNAcentral lists this ribosomal RNA (513 nucleotides) under uncultured bacterium. Its description in RNAcentral is "partial 16S ribosomal RNA". It matches the Rfam family "Bacterial small subunit ribosomal RNA", at positions 28 to 523 of the family's 1533-position model. The record is from RNAcentral.
GACGAACGCUGGCGGCAUGCCUAAUACAUGCAAGUCGAGCGAACAGAUGAAGUGCUUGCACUUCUGACGUUAGCGGCGAACGGGUGAGUAACACGUAAGGAAUCUACCUAUAAGCGGGGGAUAACAUUCGGAAACGGGUGCUAAUACCGCAUAAUAUCUUCUUCCGCAUGGAGGAAGAUUGAAAGACGGCUCUGCUGUCACUUAUAGAUGACCUUGCGGUGCAUUAGUUAGUUGGUGGGGUAACGGCCUACCAAGACGAAGAUGCAUAGCCGAGCUGAGAGGGGGAUCGGCCACAUUGGGACUGAGACACGGCCCAAACUCCUACGGGAGGCAGCAGUAGGGAAUCUUCCGCAAUGGGCGAAAGCCUGACGGAGCAAUGCCGCGUGAGUGAAGAAGGCCUUCGGGUCGUAAAACUCUGUUAUAAGAGAAGAACAAAUUGUAGAGUAACUGCUACAGUCUUGACGGUAUCUUAUCAGAAAGUCACGGCUAACUACGUGCCAGCCGCCGCAGUAA